This 1402-nucleotide ribosomal RNA is filed under the name Enterococcus faecalis. Its description in RNAcentral is "partial 23S ribosomal RNA". It matches the Rfam family "Bacterial large subunit ribosomal RNA", at positions 1 to 1399 of the family's 2925-position model. The record is from RNAcentral. Lineage: Bacteria; Bacillati; Bacillota; Bacilli; Lactobacillales; Enterococcaceae.
GUUGAUAAGGUUAAGUGAAUAAGGGCGCACGGUGGAUGCCUUGGCACUAGGAGCCGAUGAAGGACGGGACUAACACCGAUAUGCUUUGGGGAGCUGUAAGUAAGCUAUGAUCCAGAGAUUUCCGAAUGGGGGAACCCAAUAUCUUUUAUAGGAUAUUACUUUUCAGUGAAUACAUAGCUGAUUAGAGGUAGACGCAGAGAACUGAAACAUCUUAGUACCUGCAGGAAGAGAAAGAAAAUUCGAUUCCCUGAGUAGCGGCGAGCGAAACGGGAAGAGCCCAAACCAACAAGCUUGCUUGUUGGGGUUGUAGGACUCCGAUAUGGUAGUCUGUUAGUAUAGUUGAAGGAUUUGGAAAAUUCCGCUAAAGAGGGUGAAAGCCCCGUAGACGAAAUGCUGACAACACCUAGGAGGAUCCUGAGUACGGCGGAACACGAGAAAUUCCGUCGGAAUCCGCGGGGACCAUCCCGCAAGGCUAAAUACUCCCUAGUGACCGAUAGUGAACCAGUACCGUGAGGGAAAGGUGAAAAGCACCCCGGAAGGGGAGUGAAAUAGAUCCUGAAACCGUGUGCCUACAACAAGUCAAAGCUCGUUAAUGAGUGAUGGCGUGCCUUUUGUAGAAUGAACCGGCGAGUUACGAUUGCAUGCGAGGUUAAGUCGAAGAGACGGAGCCGCAGCGAAAGCGAGUCUGAAUAGGGCGAAUGAGUAUGUAGUCGUAGACCCGAAACCAUGUGAUCUACCCAUGUCCAGGUUGAAGGUGCGGUAAAACGCACUGGAGGACCGAACCCACGUACGUUGAAAAGUGCGGGGAUGAGGUGUGGGUAGCGGAGAAAUUCCAAACGAACUUGGAGAUAGCUGGUUCUCUCCGAAAUAGCUUUAGGGCUAGCCUCGGAAUUGAGAAUGAUGGAGGUAGAGCACUGUUUGGACUAGGGGCCCAUCUCGGGUUACCGAAUUCAGAUAAACUCCGAAUGCCAUUCAUUUAUAUCCGGGAGUCAGACUGCGAGUGAUAAGAUCCGUAGUCGAAAGGGAAACAGCCCAGACCACCAGCUAAGGUCCCAAAAUAUAUGUUAAGUGGAAAAGGAUGUGGGGUUGCACAGACAACUAGGAUGUUGGCUUAGAAGCAGCCACCAUUUAAAGAGUGCGUAAUAGCUCACUAGUCGAGUGACCCUGCGCCGAAAAUGUACCGGGGCUAAACAUAUUACCGAAGCUGUGGACUACACCAUUAGGUGUAGUGGUAGGAGAGCGUUCUAAGGGCGUUGAAGGUCGAUCGUGAGGACGGCUGGAGCGCUUAGAAGUGAGAAUGCCGGUAUGAGUAGCGAAAGACAGGUGAGAAUCCUGUCCACCGUAUGACUAAGGUUUCCUGGGGAAGGCUCGUCCGCCCAGGGUUAGUCGGGACCUAAGCCGA